UGGGGCGUGGUGUAACGGCAGCAUACCGGACUUUGAAUCCGUUGAUCUAGGUUCGAAUCCUGGCGCCCCAGCCU
This 74-nucleotide transfer RNA is filed under the name Anaerolineae bacterium SM23_ 63. RNAcentral's name for it is "tRNA-Gln". It matches the Rfam family "tRNA". Rfam says of the family: Transfer RNA (tRNA) molecules are approximately 80 nucleotides in length. Their secondary structure includes four short double-helical elements and three loops (D, anti-codon, and T loops). Lineage: Bacteria; Bacillati; Chloroflexota; Anaerolineae. The record is from RNAcentral.